UACGGAGGGUGCAAGCGUUGUCCGGAUUUAUUGGGUUUAAAGGGUGCGUAGGUGGGGUGUCAAGUCUGGUUUGAAAGUUAGCUGCUCAACAGUUAGACGGGGCUGGAAACUGGGAUUCUGGAAUGGGUUGGCGGCUGCCGGAACGGGUGGUGUAGCGGUGAAAUGCAUAGAUAUGGCCAAGAACACCGAUUGCGAAGGCAGGCAGCUGCGACCUGAUUGACACUGAGGCACGAGAGCAUGGGUAGCGAACAGG
RNAcentral lists this ribosomal RNA (253 nucleotides) under uncultured bacterium. RNAcentral's name for it is "partial 16S ribosomal RNA". It matches the Rfam family "Bacterial small subunit ribosomal RNA", at positions 524 to 776 of the family's 1533-position model. The record is from RNAcentral.